UCUGCCCGGCCUGUUGCCUUCUCUGUGGUGCCCACGGCAGCCGCCGCUGUGUCUCUGAAGGUGGUGGCUCGAGGGUCCUUCGAGUUCCCUGUGGGAGAUGCGGUGUCUAAGGUGCUGCAGAUUGAGAAGGAAGGGGCCAUCCAUACAGAGGAGCUGGUCUAUGAACUGAACCCCUGGACCACCGAGGCCGGACCUUGGAAAUUCCUGGCAACUCUGAUCCCAAUAUGAUCCCUGAUGGGGACUUUAACAGCUACGUCAGGGUUACAGCCUCAGAUCCACUGGACACUUUAGGCUCUGAGGGGGCCUUGUCACCAGGAGGCGUGGCCUCCCUCUUGAGGCUUCCUCGAGGCUGUGGGGAGCAAACCAUGAUCUACUUGGCUCCGACACUGGCUGCUUCCCGCUACCUGGACAAGACAGAGCAGUGGAGCACACUGCCUCCCGAGACCAAGGACUACGCCGUGGAUCUGAUCCAGAAAGGUUCUGGGUGCAAGGGCAAGCAGGAGGGGGCCAGGAAGGACAGUUACUGGAAGUUGGACAGCCCAGGAGGCUACAGAGGGAAAGAA
RNAcentral lists this small RNA (563 nucleotides) under Pongo abelii (Sumatran orangutan). RNAcentral describes it as "retained intron". The record is from RNAcentral. Lineage: Eukaryota; Metazoa; Chordata; Mammalia; Primates; Hominidae.